This 494-nucleotide ribosomal RNA is filed under the name uncultured bacterium. RNAcentral describes it as "partial 16S ribosomal RNA". It matches the Rfam family "Bacterial small subunit ribosomal RNA", at positions 28 to 507 of the family's 1533-position model. The record is from RNAcentral.
GACGAACGCUGGCGGCGUGCUUAACACAUGCAAGUCGAACGGUGAAGCGCCUUCCUUUUUGGUGGGUGUGGAUGAGUGGCGAACGGGUGAGUAACACGUGAGUAACCUGCCCCCUUCUUCUGGAUAACCGCAUGAAAGUGUGGCUAAUACGGGAUAUUCUGGGUCUGUCGCAUGAUGGGUCUGGGAAAGAUAUUGUUUCGGUGGGGGAUGGGCUCGCGGCCUAUCAGCUUGUUGGUGGGGUGAUGGCCUACCAAGGCGGUGACGGGUAGCCGGCCUGAGAGGGUGGACGGUCACACUGGGAGUGAGACACGGCCCAGACUCCUACGGGGGGCAGCAGUGGGGAAUAUUGCACAAUGGGCGAAAGCCUGAUGCAGCGACGCCGCGUGAGGGAUGGAGGCCUUCGGGUUGUGAACCUCUUUCGCCAGUGAAGCAGGCCUGCCUCGUAUGUGGGUGGGUUGACGGUAGCUGGAUAAGAAGCGCCGGCUAACUACGUG